Molecule: long non-coding RNA, 238 nt
Organism: Balaenoptera acutorostrata (minke whale)
Lineage: Eukaryota; Metazoa; Chordata; Mammalia; Artiodactyla; Balaenopteridae
Exons: 4
Source: RefSeq, a predicted model, not a curated record
CGGGCUGGCAUUCAUUCACGCUUCUGUCUGGCGACCUGGGAGGGAAGAGGACGUUGGGAUGAGGCGGAGCAGCUGAGAUAAGGACCACCAUUACCCCCUGGUACUGACAGAGAAGAUGAAUCUGUGUUGGUAAAGGAAACACUGGACGCAGUAACAGGUUUGUGUUUCCGUGAUUAACUUCUGAGACGCGAGGAAGCAGGCACAGACACCUACGCUAGACCAGUCCAUAGUUCACAGG